UUACGUCUUUUAUUUCUUAUAAACACGACCAAGGGCAGGGAAGGGCAAAGGCAGAGGGGGAGGCUGCUCUGGGGUCUGAACCGCGUGGCCCCCUCGGGAGAGGACCAGACCCCAUCGCCCUGUGGGACUUGGGGUUCAGCCAGGCCCGGAAGGCAGGUUCCAGCAGCAGCUCAGGCCCCUCAGGAAGCACUGUCCUGGGGCAGGGAGCUCUACCCUCAGGCAGGCUUCGGAGGGUCCGGGGUCCCUGCAUGGAGUGCGAAGCUGGACGAGAGACCACUGAGGUGCCUUGGACUCUGAGGUCAGAGGUCAGAGGAAACGCCAGCCAACGAUGUGAGUGGAGGCUGUGCCCGCCGCGCGAAGACGGACGAUCGCUCCAGCUUGCUGUGUGUUCACAGUGCAGCCGUCGCCUCAUUCCUCCCUCGCUCACACAUUCGGUUCUUCACCAAUCUACCAGAAGGUAGGCAAAUCCCGGACCCCAGGCGCGUGGAUCCCUGCAGCCCCGGCCGAUGCACUGCAUCCUCAGGGUCAGGGCUCCCCCAGGCUGGCCCGCAUCCCUCAGCACUGGGCACAUCCGUGACCCACCCCCAGCACAGGCCAGCAGGCUUGUGGGAGUAAGCCGGCACAGCACCGUGCAGCUGGCACCACGCACAGAGGCCACCUCUCCUGCCCCACGUGCUGGUGUCCUGGAGCUGGAAGUGAACCUGGAGCCAAGAGAAGGCCCAGGGAGCCGGUGCUCAGAGCCUUCGGGAGGAGGGCAGACCUGGCUCUGACUGCUGGUGUUUCCCACGGAGGAGCAGCCCCUCACGCCAGGCAGUGACACAGGAGAGAAAAGGUGCAGCUGAGGGGUUCAUGGGACAGAAGCAUGGCUAGACGGCAUGAGGUCAGCCCCAGGGAACCCCCAGAGGGGAAGUUCAACAGAAACAGAGACAGGAGCAGCUCCCCCAAAACCAGGCAGGCUGUGAGCCACCUUCCAGGGUGUCCUGAGAAAGCACAACGUUCCCAGGGGUUCCAGGACCAGAGUGGGGAUGGAGGGAGGAUGGGGCAGGGAUGGAGGCAGGAUGGCAUGGGGGUGGAGGAGUACCUGGUCAGGUUGGAGGGGGAGAGGGUGGCAUCUGGAUUGCACAACCAGGUGUUCUGGGACCUGGGCCACAUUUGAGAUCCUGGAGAGGGCAAGUAAAGAGCAGGGCUGUGGGAGGGGAGGUCCAGACAUUGUGUCUUCAAGGACAGAGCCCAUGACCCACAGAGUCAUCAGUCACCUCCCACCACCCCAACCUUUCCCCCUCCAUGGCUGAGGAAACCACAGGCACGGGGCCAGGGAGAGCCCACAGCAUGGAACCCAGUCAACCUGGAGCCAGACCCUGACCGGGGCCCAGGCUGCACCGUGAGGACCGUGGAGGAGGUUGAAGCGUCGUGUCUGCACGCAGAGUCAAGAACUGGCCUUGGGACAGAUGUAGAAGUCCCCAGGGCACCAGGCUGCCACUCUCCUCUCCACUCCUCUGUCUCACGCUUUCUCAGAUAAGCAUGCGUUGCUCUCAUGGAAAAACCUACUUACAAAAUAAAGUAUCACUGUUUUUCAAAACCA
Equus caballus (horse) is the source of this 1582-nucleotide non-coding RNA. Lineage: Eukaryota; Metazoa; Chordata; Mammalia; Perissodactyla; Equidae. The record is from RefSeq and is a predicted model, not a curated record.